ACUAUAGGUUCUCACACCGUCAAAUAAUCAUUAUAAACUUGCACCAACAAUGUUGUCAAUAAGCACAGCAACAUAAUCACACUUUAGCACAAAAUCAAUAACAAAACAAAUAGGCUUAGGUCAGUUUUGUAGCUACUAUGAUCCCUAUGAACCGAGUGUAGAAAAGGUAUUCUACAAGGUCUCAAGCCUGGCAAAUAUUCUCCUAUACUUGGUUUAUCUUCUCAAAGAAAACUUAGAGGUUGAGCACUUCGUUAUGAAUUAAAUUUUAGGCCCAAAAUUUGUUCUAAACCAAUUUCUGCACAAACUCUGCAACUAGGGACUGAAAUCUAAAUUCACAGUUGCACUGUUUUGUACUCGAGACCCUCAGUCAUAUUUCAUGAUAAUAUACAUGCUCAAACAGAAAUCUCAUCAAUGAUAGCAAGGUAAUGUCUUCUUAGUUGAAAUCACAGUAAACAGUCCUGAAACCCUAAUAAGUGAGGUUUAAUAGGUUAACCAGAAAGAUAAUCAGUUUUCUGGUAAAUGUUGAGUUUCAAUAGCCUUUAAUCAGUAAUGGAAACUUGCUAGGAUGAAUAACAUGCAGCUCAUACCAAGAUACAAAUAAUAUAAACUCAGAUUAAGUGAGAAAACCAGAAAAAUAGGUGUAAUGAAGGUGUGAGAUGUAAAAUCUUACUUCAGCUCACUUUGGUACAAGAGAGCACAUUCUGCCAAUGUAAAAACCACAACCACACAUGCUUGAACCUUGUUUUAACACCAGAGGUAGCCACAACUUGAUUUCACCUUCAGCAACCUUAGAUUUACACCAUAAAAUUAACUUCACAGGUACAUUUUAUAGUUCAGUGGAUCAGUACACUCUUCAUGCUAAUUUCAGAGAUUAAAAAUAGGAUUGUUCAUGAACUUCCAUAAAUGCCCUUCAAUUGUCACUUGUUGUGUAUACAGGAGAAAUACUAAUUUUUAGCAUAAUUGACACAAUGCACCUUCAUAGAAGUGAUUUAAAUUAGCUCUGCUAACUGAAAUACCCUUGAUACCCUUGAGGUUGUAGGCAAAAUGACUGAAAUACCCUUGUUAAGACAACAUGUUACUUGGACCAAAACAGGUAGCAGCAACCUUUUGUAAAUUCAGAUUAUUAUUGUGCUUGACUAUGGAUAUCUGAACCACCACUUCUCUAUCACCUAGUUGACUUGCCGAGACAACAGAUAGAGAGUUUUGAAUAUUCUCCACUACUUAUCCUUCAUUUUCAAUACUAUUUCUAUCUUCUUGCCUAGACAGCAUUGACAAAAGCUCUUCCUUCUUGUGAAGCAGUCUCUUUACUUCCUUUUGUAGCUCUGGUAUGUAUUUUAUCACACGUGACAGUGUUUGUGGAAUGCUUAAUUUUUUAUGCAACAAAAUAUGAACACCAUAUAUGAAUAAACUAUAUAAAUAUCUGUGUAAUGUAUUGUUUAUUGUACAAAAAAUGUUUCACACCAAUACUGGCUUAAUAUAUUUACAUUUCUGGAUCAUAUAUAUCGCAAAAUAUUUGUUCAAAAUGAAACUAAAAUCUUAAGCUUUGUUGUUAAUUAUGUCAGUGAAACAAUUCUUUCCAUAUACGGUACUAUCGUAUCUCGCCAUGAGAUUCAUAGUGUCUUCGCUGCUAACUGGGUGUCCAACAAUGUAAUAAAUUACUUUGGGAAUAUGUUAAAUAAGAAGCAAGGAUCCAAGGGGGACAGGUACUACUUUAGUAAUAAAGCCAUGCAGUUAAUCAGUGAAUUCAAGGUAAGAGAAUUAAAGAAAAAACCUGAACGCAUCAGCCGCCUUAAAGAAGUGUGGGAAAAAUUCAAGAAGCAUGGUGAGUACUGUUUUCUACCUGAUAUAGACACAGCAAAACUGUUAUUUUUCCCUGCAUGCAUAGAAAGAUAUUGGUUACUGUUUCUUGUCAACCGUCCGAAGAAGAUGGUUGAUUACCUUUGUUCAUUGGGAAAGCUCCAUAAAUAUAUGGAUUAUGUUAAAGUGUUAGUACGUAUAUUUAGUUUGUCUUGAUGUAAUUGAUUAGGAGUGAAUAUUUAUCAUUUUCAACAUAUUGGUAUGUACAACAGAAAGAGUUUAUUGGGAUUAUGUUUGAGGAAGAUUUCACAGAAUUUCUGCCCAACACACCAAGGGUAAUAUCCAGACAACCA
Cornus florida is the source of this 2150-nucleotide long non-coding RNA. RefSeq lists it as uncharacterized. The transcript is spliced from 3 exons. The record is from RefSeq and is a predicted model, not a curated record. Lineage: Eukaryota; Viridiplantae; Streptophyta; Magnoliopsida; Cornales; Cornaceae.